This 119-nucleotide ribosomal RNA is filed under the name Gossypium arboreum. Lineage: Eukaryota; Viridiplantae; Streptophyta; Magnoliopsida; Malvales; Malvaceae. The record is from RNAcentral.
GGGUGCGAUCAUACCAGCGCUAAUGCACUGGAUCUCAUCAAAACACCGCAGUGAAGCGUGCUUAGGCGAGAGUAGUACUAGGAUGGGUGACCUUUUGGGAAGUACUCGUGUUGCACCCC